GGAUGUGAGGGCGAUCUGGCUGUGACAUCUGUCACCGCAUUGAUCGCCAGGGUUGAUUUGGCUGAUCUGGCUGGCUAGGCUGGUGUCCCCUUCCUCCCUCACCACUCC
RNAcentral lists this small RNA (108 nucleotides) under Microtus ochrogaster (prairie vole). RNAcentral's name for it is "7SK RNA (ENSMOCG00000008744.1)". It matches the Rfam family "7SK RNA", at positions 1 to 108 of the family's 331-position model. Rfam says of the family: 7SK was discovered as an abundant small nuclear RNA in the mid-70s but a possible function has only recently been suggested. Lineage: Eukaryota; Metazoa; Chordata; Mammalia; Rodentia; Cricetidae. The record is from RNAcentral.